RNAcentral lists this microRNA precursor (112 nucleotides) under Asparagus officinalis (garden asparagus). Its description in RNAcentral is "miR5139b stem-loop (aof-MIR5139b)". Lineage: Eukaryota; Viridiplantae; Streptophyta; Magnoliopsida; Asparagales; Asparagaceae. The record is from miRBase by way of RNAcentral.
CGGCGAUGAGAUCAACCUGGCUCUGAUACCAGUGAUCGAAAUCAAAGAAGAAGAACAGAUUUUGAGGGGCUCCGGUAAUGGGUAAGGGUUUGAUUUUGUUUAUGUGUUGCAU